Molecule: long non-coding RNA, 795 nt
Filed under: Homo sapiens (human)
Lineage: Eukaryota; Metazoa; Chordata; Mammalia; Primates; Hominidae
Source: RNAcentral
GUUUCCAUUUUUUAAUCUUGUAUUCAUUAUUCAACCCAAUAAACUCUGUCUCUCAUCCUCAUCAAGCUGGAAAAUUGUUCUUCAAUCUCACUAAUGAGGCUCAUGUCGGCAUCAAGGGUAAUUUUUAAUUUUUUCAAUUUCCUGUCAAUAGUUGCUUGUUCUUUCUUGAUAUCAUCCUGCCUUUCAUUUUUAAAAUUUUUAGGUGACUUUAAAGGGAAAUGUUAAGAAAUUAUUGGACAUAUCUGGGUCUUGUUAUGAAGAAAGCAGUCCAAAAAUUAACUAUAGCUUUUUGAGUCAUUUACAUGUCUUUGGUAAUUGAGGCUAUGUAUGUGUGACAUUGAAAUUCUGAGUCUCAGGUAUGUCUUUACUACCAGCAUGAGAACAGACUAAUACACAAGCAUUUCAAAAAAUAUAUAGUGAAUACACAGCUUUUGACCUUUUGAAAUUUUUUUUAAAGAAAAUAAUUGCAUAAGUCAAAGUAUGUCACACAGAUAUUUUGUAGAUCGUAAAACAAGUCAUAGAAGUGUGCAAGUAUUGACUGGGCACGGUGGCUCACUCCUGUAAUCCCAGCACUUUGGGAGGCUGAGGCGGGCGGAUCACCAGGUCGGGAGAUGGAGACCAUCCUGGCUAACACGGUGAAAUCCCAUCUCUGGCCGGUCGUGGUGGCGGGUGCCUGUACUUCCAGCUACUCAGGAGGCUGAGGCAGGAGAAUGGCAUGAACCUGGGAGGCGGAGCUUGCAGUGAGCCAAGAUUGCACCACUGCAUUCCAGCCUGGGCAACAGAGCGAGAUUCCGU